Molecule: transfer RNA, 73 nt
Filed under: Ophiophagus hannah (king cobra)
Lineage: Eukaryota; Metazoa; Chordata; Lepidosauria; Squamata; Elapidae
Rfam family: tRNA
About the family: Transfer RNA (tRNA) molecules are approximately 80 nucleotides in length. Their secondary structure includes four short double-helical elements and three loops (D, anti-codon, and T loops).
Source: Rfam by way of RNAcentral
GCCAGUUUGAUUUAAUGGUUAAGGUAUCAGAUUACAAAUCAGGAGACUGUGAGUUCUAAUCUCACUUUAGGCA